Molecule: ribosomal RNA, 167 nt
Filed under: uncultured Sphingomonas sp.
Lineage: Bacteria; Pseudomonadati; Pseudomonadota; Alphaproteobacteria; Sphingomonadales; Sphingomonadaceae
Description: partial 16S ribosomal RNA
Rfam family: Bacterial small subunit ribosomal RNA
Source: RNAcentral
UACGGGAGGCAGCAGUGGGGAAUAUUGGACAAUGGGCGAAAGCCUGAUCCAGCAAUGCCGCGUGAGUGAUGAAGGCCCUAGGGUUGUAAAGCUCUUUUACCCGGGAAGAUAAUGACUGUACCGGGAGAAUAAGCCCCGGCUAACUCCGUGCCAGCAGCCGCGGUAAU